UACGUAGGGGGCAAGCGUUGUCCGGAUUCAUUGGGCGUAAAGAGCGUGUAGGCGGCCAGGUAGGUCGGUUGUGAAAACUGGAGGCUCAACCUUCAGAGGUCGACCGAAACCAUCUGGCUAGAGUCCGGGAGAGGAGGGUGGAAUUCCUGGUGUAGCGGUGAAAUGCGCAGAUAUCAGGGAGAACACCCGUGGCGAAAGCGGCUCUCUGGAACGGUACUGACGCUGAGACGCGAAAGCGUGGGGAGCGAACAGG
This 253-nucleotide ribosomal RNA is filed under the name uncultured bacterium. RNAcentral describes it as "partial 16S ribosomal RNA". It matches the Rfam family "Bacterial small subunit ribosomal RNA", at positions 524 to 776 of the family's 1533-position model. The record is from RNAcentral.